RNAcentral lists this long non-coding RNA (1086 nucleotides) under Mustela putorius furo (domestic ferret). RNAcentral's name for it is "lncRNA (ENSMPUG00000031085.1)". Lineage: Eukaryota; Metazoa; Chordata; Mammalia; Carnivora; Mustelidae. The record is from RNAcentral.
AUGGCUUCUAGUUGCUUUGGUCUCUCAUCUCAUCCUAGCAGCCCUUCUACCAUCAAAGAAAGAAGAUUUCUUCCCCUUUGGCUCCAUCCUAUAAACAGUCUCAAGAAUGACUUACACUGGAUCAGCAGAGGUUGCAUACUCCUUCCCCAACCAGACACCAAGCCAGGAAGAUGGGGGCAGAACCCUGUUGGCUGUUUCUGUGACCUUCCUUUGGAGCUGUAUUUCCCAGCGCUUCCUUGUGAUUACUGUCGCUGUGUGACUGAAUUCCAGUCAGAGGAAAGUGAGCAAGGAUGACAUGCUUCACUUUCUGGCACGGCCCGUCAAGCCUCUCACACAUGGUGCUGUAUCUUCUUUCCCUUUCAUUCAGCUUUAGGAAGGUGAGCAUGGUGAGUUUGGGUGCCAUGUUUUGAAGUGUUGGAGUCACAAAAUGGAAGAAGGCUUGAUCCCUCCAUGUUUCUGGGAGAAUAGUCAGGAACCAAUCAGGACCAACUUUGGUAGACUUUAAGUGAACAAGAGACAAACUUAUACCAGUUUUAUACCAAUAUAUUUGCUGGGGUUGUUUGUUGUCACAUCUAGAGUUAUCUUAACCAAUAUAUGUGUGCAUUGAAUAGAUUAUCCCUGCGAUGUAUGUCUGGCUUUUGCAUGUACUUUUCCUUAGAAUUCUUGCCUUCCAAUUAUUCACAUCCUAAAAAUGGAUGGUCUAAACCAAGUCCAUUCACCUCCAAGCAUCUCUCUUCCACACCCAUUAACCACAAUGAUAAUCUCUUUCCCUCAAUUCCUAUAGCACUUUGUUUUCUGUGCCUUUCAUGUGCCCUUGUCAUAGCUUCAAUUUUGGAUGUCUCGUUUCCCCAGGGAGGUUUGUAAGCUCUUUAAGGUCAAGGAUCAGGUUUUUAUGCUUCUUAUAUAUCUCUGAAGUAUGUAAUACAGCAUUGUGUCCUGGGAAUUUUCAAUAAAUAUUUUUGGGGAAAAUGAAUUUAUAAAUGUAUUAGGCUCAAUAAAGUCUGUUUUCCUAAAAACAGUCCUUCAUUACUCAAGCAGGAAGGUAUGUAAACUAUAAUUUACUGGAGUUGGUGUUCUUAUUAUUCU